AUAGAAAGUAGUAUCUGCCCACUGAUAUUUAAAGGGCUGCGGUAUUUUGACCGUACUAAGGUAGCAUAAUCAUUUGUUCUUUAAUUGAGGACUUGUAUGAAUGAUUUAACUUUAAUUUAAUUGUUUUUAAGAAAUAAUUUGAAUUUUAUUUUUUUGUGAAGAAGCUUAAAUAAAUGAGAAAGACAAGAAGACCCUAUGAAAGUUUAUAAUUAGAGUUUUAAUAAAUGAUAAUUUAAUAUUUGAAAUUAUUGGGCUGGGGUGGUUGAUUAAGAAAACUAAUAAAGAGUUGAACUUUAAUUUAGGAGUUGGAUCUUUGUUUAAUUGAUUGAAUAAGUUACUCUAGGGAUAACAGCAUAAUUUAUUUUGAGAGUUCAUAUUGGUAAAUAAGUUUGUGACCU
Molecule: ribosomal RNA, 398 nt
Filed under: Polyxenus lagurus (bristly millipede)
Lineage: Eukaryota; Metazoa; Arthropoda; Diplopoda; Polyxenida; Polyxenidae
Description: partial small subunit ribosomal RNA
Source: RNAcentral